CGGAGCAGAAUUUUUGAUGUCUGGGGUUUUCUGCUGUCAUUUCUAAGAAAUUUAUGCUAAAAUUAAUUGAGAAACUGAAAUUCGCAUAGUGUCUAGACAUCGAUACGUAAUGUUUCGAUGCAAACGAUAAUAAUACUCGACUAUGAGCUGAGUGUUUUACAUUUUAUUGACUGCGUCCUGAAGGUUCCUCAAUACGAAACCCCGUGUCCUGAGAAAUAAUGGACCCUUUUAAGGUUUUCGAUGACAAGGUCACAGUUGUUUCAGCGGUGAUGUAAAUAAUAACCGUAUUACCAAAUACAAGUUUAAGGCGAACAGCAUUCGCUGAAUCCGAAUUGGCACUUCGUCAAGCUGGCGGCCCUACAGGAUGCGGCUCGCGCGCCCUCGCUAGCACCGCGCGCAACUCGUCACGUCGCCACACUCACAG
Long non-coding RNA from Ostrinia nubilalis (European corn borer), 424 nucleotides. RefSeq lists it as uncharacterized. Lineage: Eukaryota; Metazoa; Arthropoda; Insecta; Lepidoptera; Crambidae. The transcript has 3 exons. The record is from RefSeq and is a predicted model, not a curated record.